RNA transcript from Rosa chinensis, 2882 nucleotides. RefSeq lists it as uncharacterized. Lineage: Eukaryota; Viridiplantae; Streptophyta; Magnoliopsida; Rosales; Rosaceae. The record is from RefSeq and is a predicted model, not a curated record. The transcript is spliced from 11 exons.
UUUUCGACUAAAAGGGUUUUUUUGCUAAAUUAGGGGUUUUCAGAAACAGAGCAACUAGUUCUAGUUCUAAGCCGCAAACCUGUUCUCUCUCUCCAACCUAAGACCAAGCUCUCUCCUUGACUCCUUGUGGAAGAUCCUUGGUCACCCAGAAGCGCGGCUGCUCAAGUUUUCGUUAUGAAUAUUCUCAAACUUUUGUCCGGCUCUCUGUUUCCGGAGAAAGAUGACCAAAAGUUUGAUGAUUGUGGGAGUCUUGAUCUGUUUCCAUUUGGAUUUCCCAGAUCAUUAACUGUGGAUAGGAUUCACGUUCAAAGCACUUGUCCUGCUCUGUUCCUUCACAUGUGAUCUCUUAUAUCAAUGACGCUGGGAGUGGAGGAUUCAGGAGCAUGCAAAGUCUUUGUCUGAGAUUAUUUCCCACCAACUUUUAAUUGCUAGCAGACCUGAGAUUCCUCUUCUGUGGAUCUCUUUAAGAAAUAUCGACAUCGAUGGAGAAUUCAAACGAUACCUGUUCUUUCCCGCCAUGCCCUGCUCAAUUAACUUUCAUAAACAGCACAGAGAUUCAAUAUCAAUGUAAUACUGAAUUCUCAAAAGGAUUGCGGUACUUCCCUGCCAUGCCCUGCUGAAGUAACUAUCCUAAGCAGCAGAGCCCUGCAGAGAUUGAGAUUGAUGGAGAAUUCAAACGAUACCUGUUCUUUCCUGCCAUGCCUUGCUCAAGUAACUGUCAUAAACAGCAGAGAGAUUCAUUGUUGAUUGAAUACUUAAAAGGAUUGCUGUUCUUUCCUGCGAUGCCGUGUUGAAGUAACUAUCCUAAGCAGCAGAGCCCUGCAGAGAUCGAGAUUGAUGGAGAAUUCAAAUGAUACCCGUUCUUUCCUGCCAUGCCUUGCUCAAGUAACUAUCAUAAACAGCAGAGAGAUUCAAUGUUGAUUGAAUACUUAAAAGGAUUGCUGUUCUUUCCUGCGAUGCCGUGCUGAAGUAACUAUCCUAAGCAGCAGAGCCCUGCAGAGGUUGAUAGAGAUGGUGGUGUCUUUGGAUGAAAGACACGUCGGGUGGAGGAUUGAAGGAAGCAUAUCAAGCGUGCAGCUGAGAUUCUUUGCCACCAAACUUUCAAGGUUUGGAAAAAGCCUCAUCACUAAAGUACUAGUGCCAAAAUUUUCACUUCAUGCCAGUUUUUGACAGCCUGUAAUAAUAUAUAUAUAUAUAUAUAUAUAUAUAUAUUUUUAAGUUUCCCUUUAUGCCAAUUUUUUAAUUCAUAAAAUUCAGUAGUGUAGUGUACUAAAUUACGAAUUCGUACACCACUGAAUUAUAAUUUAGUAAUAGGAAUGACACAAAUAUAUAAAAACACCAGUGGUGCGAAUGGAAGGAUCUAGAUUUACACUUAGGGUAAUUAAGUAUUAUUACCAGAUUGUCCCUUACCCUUUCUAUAAAAGCAACAGUACACAGUGCCUGAUCUAAAACAACAGUGAAAAAAGAAAAAAGAAAAGUUCUAGAGAUCAAGGAAAAAAGGAAAGCUCUGUUCAUCUGAAAAUGGGUUGGGGCAAGAGUGGAGAUGGCAGCCAAGGCAAAGGUGGAGGGGGCAAGGGCAAGAAUGGAAAUGGCGGCCAAGGCAAAGGAGGAGGGGGCAAGGGCAAGGGCAAAGGCAAAGGCAAAGGCAAAGGCAAAGGAGGAGGGGGCAAGGGCAAGGGCAAGAAGGACAAGAAGGACAAGAAAUCUGAUAAGGCCAACAAGAAGCUGGAGCAGUACCUGAAGAAGAUGCGGAAGAUUUGGGAGAAGAUGAAAUGAAGAAUCAAGAAUGGCAGCGACUGGGAUCUAGGGUUAAUCGAGAGUCUGGGUGUUGGGAAUGGGUUAAUUUCAGUCUAGUUGGGAAUGGGUUAAUUUCAGUCUAGGGUAUCGGGUAGGGUCGUAUGUAAAGUUGCCAUUUAAUAUCAAUGUCAUCGUAUUACUAAAUCAAGUUAGUUAACUAGGAAAAACAAAACAAAAAGGGGAUCCCCAAGAUCCGAAACCCUUGAUUUUUGUUUUGGGCUCCGUCCUCUCUCUCUCUCUCCCUCCCCCUAUGGCUUCUGCUUGUUGGGAAGCUGAGCAGCUCAAUCGUCAAUAUGGUUCUGGGCUUUUGUGAUUUUCUGCAUUUAUGGUUCUGGGUUGUUGUGAUUUUGUGCAUUCUUAUAUCUGGGUUGUUGUGAUUUUGUGCAUUCUUAUAUCUGGGUUUUGGUUCUUGGCACUUCCCAAAUACUGGAGCUGAAUGUUGUCUAUUUAGAUUGAGAGGUAUGGUACUAGGAGAUGGUCAAACCGCUAAUCCAAGGUUCCAGAGGUGUAGAAUUGCAUGGUAGCAAGUUACAACAAGGUCUGUGGUUCAUUGUGUAGAGUCAGAUGGUGGAGUGAUUCAACUAGAACUAGACAAUGAGUCGGAGUAGGAAACUGAUACUCAGUAGUAACUAGUAAGAGAGGGGAGGAAAGGUUGCAAUUUGAGGGAAAAAUUAUAAGAGGGCUUUGAGGAAGCAAUUGCUGAAGUUGAUACGCUGGGAGAGAAAUCAUACAAGGACAGCACUCUAAUCAUGCAACUUCUGAGGGACAACCUCACUGUUUGGACUACAGAUUUGCAGGUCCAUACUACUCUUACGUGGAGUAUUAGAUGAUUUUUGCAGUUUUCUUAGAUGGGGUUGCUGAGUUACUUAGUUUUACCAUGGCCAUAACAAACAAAUGUUAUAUAUCAAUAGCACUUGAGCCCUUCUAUGGCACUAAUGAAAGAAAAGUUAUUUUUAAACAAGUAAGUUGAGAAUAGAUUAAACCUGUCAAUCUCAUUGAGAUCUCAAAAUCAGACCUAUGUUAUGAUAUACAAUUUGAUCCUUAAAGAACAAAGUAAAUUUAUAUAUGAUGCUCUUUAUGCUGUU